GACGAACGUUGGCGGCGUGCUUAAUACAUGCAAGUCAACUGAAGCAGUGGUAGCAAUCUCGCUGUGGAGGUGGCGCACGGGUGAGUAACACGUAGGUAAUCUGCCUUCAGGUCUGGCAUAACUCCGGGAAACCGGGGCUAAUAGCAGAUGAUGCAGCGGCUCGACAUCGAGACAGUUGUUAAAGCUAUGGCGCCUGAAGAUGAGCCUGCGUCUGAUUAGCUAGUUGGCGGGGUAACGGCCCACCAAGGCAACGAUCAGUAGCUGGUCUGAGAGGAUGAUCAGCCACACUGGAACUGAGACACGGUCCAGACUCCUACGGGAGGCAGCAGUAAGGAAUAUUGCUCAAUGGGAGAAAUCCUGAAGCAGCAACGCCGCGUGAGGGACGAAGAGCUUUUGCUUGUAAACCUCUGUAGUGAGAGAAAAAAAUCCCAAUCUUUGGGACAUGAUGGUAUCUCAAAAGUAAGCCCCGGCUAACUACGUG
Molecule: ribosomal RNA, 481 nt
Filed under: uncultured bacterium
Lineage: Bacteria
Description: partial 16S ribosomal RNA
Rfam family: Bacterial small subunit ribosomal RNA
Source: RNAcentral